This 589-nucleotide ribosomal RNA is filed under the name uncultured bacterium. RNAcentral's name for it is "partial 16S ribosomal RNA". It matches the Rfam family "Bacterial small subunit ribosomal RNA", at positions 355 to 1376 of the family's 1533-position model. The record is from RNAcentral.
UGGGGAAUAUUGGACAAUGGGCGCAAGCCUGAUCCAGCAAUGCCGCGUGUGUGAAGAAGGCCUUCGGGUUGUAAAGCACUUUUAUCAGGAGCGAAACGCUGUCGGCUAAUACCCGGCGGAACUGACGGUACCUGAGGAAUAAGCACCGGCUAACUUCGUGCCAGCAGCCGCGGUAAUACGAAGGGUGCAAGCGUUAAUCGGAAUUACUGGGCGUAAAGCGAUGCGUAGGCGGUUUCUUAAGUCUGCUGUGAAAUCCCCGGGCUCAACCUGGGAAUGGCAGUGGAUACUGGGAGGCUAGAGUGUGUCAGAGGGUGGUGGAAUUCCCGGUGUAGCGGUGAAAUGCGUAGAGAUCGGGAGGAACAUCAGUGGCGAAGGCGGCCACCUGGGACAACACUGACGCUGAGGCACGAAAGCGUGGGGAGCAAACAGGAUUAGAUACCCUGGUAGUCCACGCCCUAAACGAUGCGAACUGGAUGUUGGUCUCAACUCGGAGAUCAGUGUCGAAGCUAACGCGUUAAGUUCGCCGCCUGGGGAGUACGGUCGCAAGACUGAAACUCAAAUGAAUUGACGGGGUCAUAGCUGUUUCCUG